Molecule: ribosomal RNA, 497 nt
Filed under: uncultured bacterium
Lineage: Bacteria
Description: partial 16S ribosomal RNA
Rfam family: Bacterial small subunit ribosomal RNA
Source: RNAcentral
GAUGAACGCUGGCGGCGUGCCUAAUACAUGCAAGUCGAGCGAACGGACGAGAAGCUUGCUUCUCUGAUGUUAGCGGCGGACGGGUGAGUAACACGUGGAGAACCUACCUAUAAGACUGGGAUAACUUCGGGAAACCGGAGCUAAUACCGGAUAAUAUUUUGAACCGCAUGGUUCAAAAGUGAAAGACGGUCUUGCUGUCACUUAUAGAUGGAUCCGCGCUGCAUUAGCUAGUUGGUAAGGUAACGGCUUACCAAGGCAACGAUGCAUAGCCGACCUGAGAGGUUGAUCGCCCACACUGGAACUGAGACGCGGUCCAGCCUCCUACGGGAGGCAGCAGUAGGGAAUCUUCCGCAAUGGGCGAAAGCCUGACGGAGCAACGCCGCGUGAGUGAUGAAGGUCUUCGGAUCGUAAAACUCUGUUAUUAGGGAAGAACAUAUGUGUAAGUAACUGUGCACAUCUUGACGGUACCUAAUCAGAAAGCCACGGCUAACUACGUG